This is a long non-coding RNA of Uranotaenia lowii, 2605 nucleotides long. RefSeq lists it as uncharacterized. The transcript has 3 exons. Lineage: Eukaryota; Metazoa; Arthropoda; Insecta; Diptera; Culicidae. The record is from RefSeq and is a predicted model, not a curated record.
CUAGUGUGACAUUCUUGCGUAAAAAUUUCAACAUAGAGACAACCAAAUUGAAAAUAAAUUCGUAUAAAUUCAGACAAAGUAUAAUUGUUUGUGUUUUUAUUCGAAAGUAAACACUUAAAGAGACCGUUUCCAGCAAAAAAGUAAAAAUGAACCAAAAGUCACAUGGGACAGUUUUGCUUGGAACGGCAGUUCAGUGGUUGUCAAAAUUUAAAAUUUUGAACUAUACUUUUUUCCCUUUAUGAUUUUUCGACCUUCCAAAUUUGACAUUUUGGUACCAAAUAUUUUGUUUAAUUAAAUAACAAAUUUCAAAAUCUAUAAAAAUCGUGUGAUGGGAAAUCCAGUGUAAAAUGACACUAUAUGUUUUAUUUAACAAGUCUGUCGCUUUUUUAUAAGUUAUCAUAUAGGUUUUUGCCAAAAUAUUUCAAGAUUUAGAUAUGGGAGACUGGGAUACAUGGGCCACUUUUUUUCCAUUUCUCCAUAACUUUCAUAUUAAAAAAGACGAAAUGAAAAAGAUAAAUGGUAUGGUUUUCUACAUUUCUUAUCAUCAUGCAUUUUUUUAAUUCUUUUACUAAAUUAUUUUCUCUGAGCUCUGAGCUCUCGUAGGCCACCAAAUACAAAUAGAUCAUAUUACAUGCAAUGUAUAUAAGUUGAAUCAAAACUGUUAUUUCAUAAAUCAUUUAGUUAUUUUGGAGCAAUUUCAGGUGAAGAUGUGAAAAAAAUAGUUGUUUUUGAUCGAAUAGAUUCUUAAACAAGGCUUGCGAACGUUUUAGCAUGUUCUUUAUAUAAUAUUUAUGUUCGUCUCUAUCGCAUAGAAUAAAAUUUAAAGAAUAUUUUCCAUAACUUUUCAUUUUGUGUCAGAUUACUUUACAGAUAAAGCAUGGAUCACUACAAAUCUGGACGCGUGAAAACGGGUCUAUCUCGGAGCUUUGUAAACGAAAAAAAAAUUUUAUAAUCAAAAUGUAGGGUUUUUAUUGCACUUCAAAGGAAAAAUAAGAAAAAAAAAUAUUUCGAUGUUUUUUUGAUAAAAUUUCGAACUUUUCGUCUAGAACCACUCAUCAAAGUUUGGACACCCUAUUCACUGACCUCAGCGGCCAUUUUGUUCCACAAUCUCUUCAUCUCUGUUGCUUCCCGAGUCGUCCUACCAUUCUUCUUCAUCUUCUGUCUGACAAUUGCCCAACAUUUUCGAUACACGGAAAAACUCAGCAACUCAUAAAAUGUGUUGUAAUUACACCUUGGUUGUAACUAACCCUCUGAUGCUCAAAAUAUGUAUAACCGAAAAUCAAAUUUGGGUUGCCAAAAUACAGAAUUGACUAAAUAGUUGACAUCGUUUAAACAUUUCUGUAUAAAAAGUUGUUGUUGUUGGAAUGUUAGUCAAAAGGGAUGCCAGUUAACCCUUUAAUGCAUAGUGUUGUUUUAAAACAACACUAAUAAAAAUCAAAAUAUCCCGAAAACGCGUGGAUAUUUUUGAGUAAUGUAUUCACUAAAAAUAUUCUAGAGAUUAAAAGAAAUCAGCCCAUGGUAUUUUUUUUACAAUAUUUUAACUUAUUUGUGAGAUAUUGAACAAAGUAUGCAGAAAAAUUGCGAAAAUUAUAUUUAUUUCUAUUUUUGAAAAAAGUAGUUUUUGGAAAAUCGCUGUUAUCUCUUCAGAUAUGCAAAUUCUAACAUUUUUUUUAAUCUCAAUCAAUCACAAACAUCUUCCUGCACCCAAUCAACAAGGUUUUGAAGAAAUUAGCAAAACCGUAUUGAAAUGAACUAAGAAUUUAAAAAAUUAUUUUUAAACUUUUGGGGGCCAUAACUUUUAUAAUACUCAAAAUAACGAUUUCAAACCUGUUAAGUUUUGUUAUUCGAAUUAAAAUGUUAUUAUUUCACUGAAUCAAUAACUGCAAUUCUCAUUUAAAAAAAAGUCAUGCAUUAAAGGGUUAAAGCGUGACAAGAACAAAUUGCCGGUCUGGUGGUCGACGGAGGGCAUCUAUUUCAGUGUACAUCCAUCCGGAUGUGGACCUCCAGGUGCUGCUCCCCAAUGGGAGGAGCCAGUGGAGCAGCUCCUGGUGCCAUUCCUACGAUACGAUGGUGGUUCUGUCGGUGGUCAGCGGAUGGACGGAGCAUAAGGCUCCGGACAAACGAACCUAGCAUUGUCACCAAGCAAGGCUCAUGGGAAAAGCUUGACGACCGUUCACCAGCAGAAAAAUUGCAGUCUCCGUGUCUCUGGACGAAGUACCGGCCCGAUCAAGGUGAUACCAACCUCAAACGGUUUAGAUUACCAAGUAUGAAGGAGCAAGAGUGGAAGCUGGAAAGGAAGUAAAAAAUAUAUCCGGCAAUCUUCCUUUUAUUUUUAUUCGGAAUUGGACUUUGGUCUCUUAUGCUCAGUACCAAAGAAGCCACGGUAGAACAAAACGGCACUAUCGAGUUCUAAGGAUUCUAGACAGCGGUCCCCAAUUACCCCCCACGGCAUACCUCCAAGGCCAGCUGAAGUACCACAUCACAAGCAGUCUCAUUGAAAUCUGAGGAAGCUGAAAAACAUCAAUAAUGCCACCAUGAUAUCAGCGGGAUCUGAGUCAAUCACCGCCGAAUUGAUUUAAAUUUAGAUAUUUUUAUAUGUAUAUGU